GACGAACGCUGGCGGCGUGCUUAACACAUGCAAGUCGAACGGAAAGGCCUCUUUCGGGGGGUACUCGAGUGGCGAACGGGUGAGUAACACGUGAGUAACCUGCCCUUGACUUUGGGAUAACUUCAGGAAACUGGGGCUAAUACCGGAUAGGAGCUCCUGCUGCAUGGUGGGGGUUUGAAAGUUUCGGCGGUUGGGGAUGGACUCGCGGCUUAUCAGCUUGUUGGUGGGGUAGUGGCUUACCAAGGCUUUGACGGGUAGCCGGCCUGAGAGGGUGACCGGCCACAUUGGGACUGAGAUACGGCCCAGACUCCUACGGGAGGCAGCAGGGGGGAAUAUUGCACAAUGGGUGGAAGCCUGAUGCAGCAACGCCGUGUGCGGGAUGACGGCCUUCGGGUUGUAAACCGCUUUCGCUCAUGACGAAGCUUUGUGUGACGGUAGUGGGUAAAGAAGCACCGGCUAACUACGUG
RNAcentral lists this ribosomal RNA (467 nucleotides) under uncultured bacterium. RNAcentral's name for it is "partial 16S ribosomal RNA". It matches the Rfam family "Bacterial small subunit ribosomal RNA", at positions 28 to 507 of the family's 1533-position model. The record is from RNAcentral.